GACGGGACCCGCACAAGCGGUGGAUGAUGUGGAUUAAUUCGAUGCAACGACGAAAACCUUAACCUACCCUUGACAUGCCACGGAAUCCUGCAGAGAUGUGGGAGUGCUCGAAAGAGAACCUGGACACAGGUGCUGCAUGGCUGUCGUCAGCUCGUGUCGUGAGAUGUUGGGUUAAGUCCCGCAACGAGCGCAACCCUUGUCAUUAGUUGCCAUCAUUAAGUUGGGCACUCUAAUGAGACUGCCGGUGACAAACCGGAGGAAGGUGGGGAUGACGUCAAGUCCUCAUGGCCCUUAUGGGUAGGGCUUCACACGUCAUACAAUGGUCGGUACAAAGGGUUGCCAAGCCGCGAGGUCGAGCGAAUCUCAAAAAACCCAUCAUAGUCCGGAUUGCAGUCUGCAACUCGACUGCAUGAAGUUGGAAUCGCUAGUAAUCGUGGAUCAGCAUGCCACGGUGAAUACGUUCCCGGGUCUU
This 472-nucleotide ribosomal RNA is filed under the name uncultured Rhodocyclaceae bacterium. RNAcentral describes it as "bacterial SSU rRNA". It matches the Rfam family "Bacterial small subunit ribosomal RNA", at positions 916 to 1381 of the family's 1533-position model. Lineage: Bacteria; Pseudomonadati; Pseudomonadota; Betaproteobacteria; Rhodocyclales; Rhodocyclaceae. The record is from RNAcentral.